This 353-nucleotide ribosomal RNA is filed under the name uncultured bacterium. Its description in RNAcentral is "bacterial SSU rRNA". It matches the Rfam family "Bacterial small subunit ribosomal RNA", at positions 8 to 349 of the family's 1533-position model. The record is from RNAcentral.
AGAGUUUGAUCCUGGCUCAGGAUGAACGCUAGCUACAGGCUUAACACAUGCAAGUCGAGGGGAAACGACAUCGAAAGCUUGCUUUUGAUGGGCGUCGACCGGCGCACGGGUGAGUAACGCGUAUCCAACCUGCCCAUCACUUGGGGAUAACCUUGCGAAAGUAAGACUAAUACCCAAUGAUAUCUCUAGAAGACAUCUGAAAGAGAUUAAAGAUUUAUCGGUGAUGGAUGGGGAUGCGUCUGAUUAGCUUGUUGGCGGGGUAACGGCCACCAAGGCUACGAUCGAGUAGGGGUUCUGAGACGGAAGGUCCCCCACAUUGGAACUGAGACACGGUCCAAACUCCUACGGGAGCA